UACGGAGGAUGCGAGCGUUAUCCGGAUUUAUUGGGUUUAAAGGGUGCGUAGGCGGACUGUCAAGUCAGCGGUAAAAUUGAGAGGCUCAACCUCUUCCCGCCGUUGAAACUGGUGGUCUUGAGUGGAUGAGAAGUACGCGGAAUGCGUGGUGUAGCGGUGAAAUGCAUAGAUAUCACGCAGAACUCCGAUUGCGAAGGCAGCGUACCGGCAUCCAACUGACGCUGAGGCGCGAAAGCGUGGGGAGCAAACAGG
RNAcentral lists this ribosomal RNA (252 nucleotides) under uncultured bacterium. RNAcentral's name for it is "partial 16S ribosomal RNA". It matches the Rfam family "Bacterial small subunit ribosomal RNA", at positions 524 to 776 of the family's 1533-position model. The record is from RNAcentral.